UAAACAAAGCCCAUGCCAGUUUACAGGUUC
RNAcentral lists this non-coding RNA (30 nucleotides) under Rattus norvegicus (Norway rat). Lineage: Eukaryota; Metazoa; Chordata; Mammalia; Rodentia; Muridae. The record is from RNAcentral.